This 429-nucleotide ribosomal RNA is filed under the name Bacteroidota bacterium. RNAcentral's name for it is "Bacteroidetes bacterium partial 16S ribosomal RNA". It matches the Rfam family "Bacterial small subunit ribosomal RNA", at positions 355 to 776 of the family's 1533-position model. Lineage: Bacteria; Pseudomonadati; Bacteroidota. The record is from RNAcentral.
UAGGGAAUCUUCGGCAAUGGGGGGAACCCUGACCGAGCAACGCCGCGUGAGUGAAGAAGGUUUUCGGAUCGUAAAGCUCUGUUGUUAAGGAAGAACGAGUGUGAGAAUGGAAAGUUCAUACUGUGACGGUACUUAACCAGAAAGGGACGGCUAACUACGUGCCAGCAGCCGCGGUAAUACGUAGGUCCCGAGCGUUGUCCGGACUUAUUGGGCGUAAAGCGAGCGCAGGCGGUUAGAUAAGUCUGAAGUUAAAGGCAGUGGCUCAACCAUUGUAGGCUUUGGAAACUGUUUAACUUGAGUGCAGAAGGGGAGAGUGGAAUUCCAUGUGUAGCGGUGAAAUGCGUAGAUAUAUGGAGGAACACCGGUGGCGAAAGCGGCUCUCUGGUCUGUAACUGACGCUGAGGCUCGAAAGCGUGGGGAGCGAACAGG